Molecule: ribosomal RNA, 422 nt
Filed under: uncultured bacterium
Lineage: Bacteria
Description: bacterial SSU rRNA
Rfam family: Bacterial small subunit ribosomal RNA
Source: RNAcentral
GUGAACGCUGGCGGCGUGGAUUAGGCAUGCAAGUCGAGCGAUGCCGCCGCAAGGCGGUAUAGCGGCAGACGGGUGAGCAACACGUGAGUAAUCUGCCCUUAAGUCAGGAAUAGCACCGUGAAAACGGUGGUAAUGCCUGAUAGUAUCUUUGAUACGCAUGUGUCAAGGAUUAAAGACCGGGACCGCAAGGCCUGUCGCUUAGGGAUGAGCUCGCGUCUUAUCAGCUAGUUGGUAGGGUAAUGGCCUACCAAGGCAAUUGACGAGUAGCUGGUCUGAGAGGAUGGUCAGCCACACUGGGACUGAGACACUGCCCAGACUCCUACGGGAGGCUGCAGUCGAGAAUCUUUAGCAAUGGGCGAAAGCCUGACUAUGCGACGCCGCGUGAGGGAUGAAGGUCUUCGGAUCGUAAACCUCUUUUUGGC